RNAcentral lists this ribosomal RNA (328 nucleotides) under uncultured Bacteroidota bacterium. Its description in RNAcentral is "bacterial SSU rRNA". It matches the Rfam family "Bacterial small subunit ribosomal RNA", at positions 28 to 351 of the family's 1533-position model. Lineage: Bacteria; Pseudomonadati; Bacteroidota. The record is from RNAcentral.
GAUGAACGCUAGCGGGAGGCUUAACACAUGCAAGUCGAGGGGCAGCACGAGGUAGCAAUACUUUGGUGGCGACCGGCGCACGGGUGAGUAUCGCGUAUGCAACCUACCCUAUACAGGGGGAUAGCCCGGAGAAAUUCGGAUUAAUACCCCAUAACGAUAUUAGAAGGCAUCUUCAUAUAUCUAAAGCUACGGCGGUAUAGGAUGGGCAUGCGUAACAUUAGCUAGUUGGUAGGGUAACGGCCUACCAAGGCUACGAUGUUUAGGGGACCUGAGAGGGUGAUCCCCCACACUGGUACUGAGACACGGACCAGACUCCUACGGGAGGCAG